Osmia lignaria (orchard mason bee) is the source of this 268-nucleotide non-coding RNA. Lineage: Eukaryota; Metazoa; Arthropoda; Insecta; Hymenoptera; Megachilidae. The record is from RefSeq and is a predicted model, not a curated record.
GAAAAUUUCAAAUAACAUCAUUUAAGUGACGUCUAGGUGUAAAUGUCAUCACGUAUGUGCUUCCGGUAACCAAACGUUGCAUUCCCAGGCAUAAUAAUUACAUAUACAAGACAUGUGUCAUUAAGAGGUUGAUUGGAAAUCAGGAGUCGUGGUGAUCUAAUAAGCGUUCUGAUUAUGCCGUUAUAAACGAAGUGAUAAGGAUCCUGAUAAGAGUGCAACAACCUAUUCUAGCGUCUCCAUUUAGCAAUAAGAAAAUACAUUGAAUUCA